Molecule: ribosomal RNA, 422 nt
Filed under: uncultured eukaryote
Lineage: Eukaryota
Description: SSU rRNA
Rfam family: Eukaryotic small subunit ribosomal RNA
Source: RNAcentral
CAAUAGCGUAUAUUAAAGUUGUUGCGGUUAAAAGCUCGUACUGUAGUUGGAUUUCUGCCGAGGACGACCGGUCAGCCCUCUGGGUGAGUAUCUGGUUCGGCCUGGGCAUCUUCUUGGAGAACGUAUCUGCACUUGACUGUGUGGUGCGGUAUCCAGGACUUUUACUUUGAGGAAAUUAGAGUGUUUCAAGCAAGCACACGCCUUGAAUACAUUAGCAUGGAAUAAUAAGAUAGGACCUUGGUUCUAUUUUGUUGGUUUCUAGAGCUGAGGUAAUGAUUAAUAGGGAUAGUUGGGGGGCAUUCAUAUUUAACUGUCAGAGGUGAAAUUCUGGGAUUUGUUAAAGACGGACUACUGCGAAAGCAUUUGCCAAGGAUGUUUUCAUUGAUCAAGAACGAAAGUUAGGGGAUCGAAGAUGAUCAGAU